Non-coding RNA from Heterocephalus glaber (naked mole-rat), 3126 nucleotides. NCBI's taxonomy places the organism in Eukaryota, Metazoa, Chordata, Mammalia, Rodentia, Bathyergidae. The record is from RefSeq and is a predicted model, not a curated record.
CCGGGUGGCUCCUUCAGCCCCUGAGACCUUUAACCCCCCUGUUGUGAGACAAAAAGAAAAGUGAGGCUGAAGUGUGGUCGCAGAUAGUGUGUCACUACAGGCCCACAGGAUGCACAGCCACCAGACAACUUGGAGUUCAAGGGCAGCUGACUGCGGGUGUGGGAGCUGCUGUAGUUUGGGAGGCUUUGGAAUAUCCCCCGAAGCCCACAUCUGGAAGGAGGUGAGCAGCUUUAUGUCAUCGCACACUUCCCCCUGCAUCCAGGCCACUGACCAUGGACUGGAACUACUGAAACUGUGAGCCAGCAUAAACCUUUCCUCUCUAUAGAACCUCACAGGACCUCACGCAUGCUAGGCAAACACCAUACCACUGAGCCUCAAUCCCAGACUUACUGUUUUUCAUUUGAGGUAUGGUCUUGUUAGGUUGCCCAGGCUGGCCUCAAACUUGUGAUCCUCCAGCUUCAGCCUCUUGAGUAGCUGAAAUUACAGGCUGGGCUCAGACUUUCGAUCCUCCUGCCUCAGCCUCCCAUAGUGCUGAGAUGCCAGAUGUGUGCCACUACACCCAGCUCAAGAAUGUCAUGGAUGUAGGUUGAGUGGAAUGGAGGAGAGAGACAACUGAUGGAGAGGAGGAACAGUCAUGGGGUCUCCUGGGAUGGGUGGGGAUUUUCUAAGAAUUCAGGCCCUCUCUCUUUUUGCUGUUUUUCUGGUCUCUUCUGUUGUCAUGGUGACUGUCGAUCAUGAGGGCACCAGAGGGCAGAAAUCUUCUAGGGACACGAAGGACCGGACUCAACAUGGUGCUAAGCCCACAGGUCAGCUCGACUCCCCUUGCGGCCGUGGCCAGGGAUCAAACUCAGGACCUUGCAGUUACGAGGCAGAUGUGGUGCUGCUGAGCUAAAUCCGGCCCUUCUGUCAUUGGUGUUUGCGGUGCUGGGGACAGAACCUGGCGCAUGUCACACUCUGUGCUUCCUGGAAGUCAGGACAGUGGGUGCUGCCUACUUGGCCCCAGGGACACCAUGUGGUAACACCGCCCGCCCAGCAACCCUACCAGGAUAGUGACGCUGACUUGGGCCACCUGCAGGCUGAAGACCUCUCACUGUCCUGCGUGUCCCUGGAAGAUUCCUGCCCUCUGGCUCCAUGAUGGUUGACAGUCGCCAUGACAACAGGAAGAGACCAGAAAAACAGCAAAAAGAGACAGCGCCAGGAUUCUUAGAAAAUUUCCACAGGGCUAGCUGGUUUUUUCCCUUUUUUUGGAAACCAGGUCUCAGUCAGUUGCCCAGACUGGGCUCAAACUUGUGAUCCUCCUGCCUCAGCCUCCCAAGUGCUGUGGUAACAGCCUGCACCACACCUGGUCAACCUGUUCCUAGAAGUUAGUUUGCGUGAUACACAGGUAGACAAUCUGGCUACUCAGAGAGAAAGGAGAAAGGAGGAUGGGAAUGGUCUUUUCAGAGAAUAAUGGGUGUUCUCACCCCCACACUGGACACCUCCAGGUUAUGAACUCCUCUCUUUCCUGUGUUCUAUUACAAUGCAGUGAUCCUGUACUUCACCCAUGCCUGACUUUGACCUGGGGUCCCCGGAAAGGAUUCCAGGGUCCUAAUUCCUUGACAAGUCCCCUGGUUCAGAGGGCUGGCUGUGGCAUCCCCAAGCCCAUGACCACCCGGAGCCCUGAUGCCGGGAGAGGCGGGAAGGAACUCCCCGGAGCCUCCACGGCCUGCACAGACUUGGAUUUUGCAAUUCUGGCUUCCAGAGCUGCGCCACGCACAUUUCUGUGGUUUGAAGCCCUCAGGGUAGGGGAUGGUCACAGAUGGAAAUCCCUCCCUGCAGGCCUCCAUCUAUGCUCACCUGGGUAACUGUGCGGCUUCUAGGGCCUCCUGGUCACUCCUGCCACGGCCUCUUCUCUGCCCAGGUGGUAGCUGAGGGAGCUUUGUGACACAAGCCUAAGUCAGGUCUGGGCCCUUCUCUGCUCUGAAUCCUCCAUGUCCCGUCCCCAGAAAGCUUCUCACUCACCAUGUGGAUUUGAGAUAGUGGUGUGGGUGACAUUCCUGAGCGGCCCAUGUGGGAUGGAUGUGGUACAAAUACCCACCACUGCGGUCUCUCCUGGAUGACCCCUAACCUUCUCCUUCUCUUAUCCUGGCUGAGCUUCUGCCCUGGACCUUUCUGGGUCUCAGUUUCCCUGUUUGGCAGUUGGGCAGAGCGGCUGAGUCUGUGACAUGAGUUUCAUCCGACACAGGAAAGCCCAGCCCCUUGGGGAGAGAGAAUUUCCUGGGGGCUUUAGUGACAGUGAGUUGUCACCAAGACCUGGCAGGAUGCCUGCAGAGGCCUCUGGGGUCCACACGAGGCUGCAGCGGAGGCCCAGGCACCCAAACAGCCCAGGUCUGGUGGCAUUAAACUGCGACCAUGCUGUUGCACAGCAUGAGCUCCAUGGACUGGAAAUGCCCAGGACAAGCGACUCCAGAGACAGGAAGUGGAGUUGUGGGUGCCGGGGCUGGGAGGGGUUGGAGUGACAGCUCAUGGGGACGGAUGGGGCUUCCUAUGGGGAGACGGAAUGUUCUGAACUAAUUAGAGGUGGUGGCUACUGGACAUUGUGAAUGUAUGAAAUGUCUCUGUUGGUAAAUUUUAUGCUUUGUGCAUUUUAUCACAAUAAAGAGAUUACAUUAAAAUAGGGAUUAUCUAGAUUAUUGAGAUGAUUGGCAUAUCCUUUAAGUUUCAGGCCUGAAGAAAGUAACUUACUAAAGCAUACACUCAGGCCACGUGUGGCUGGAGCUCUCCUGUCAUCCCAGCCACUCAGGAGGCUGAGGCAGGAGGAUCACAUGAUGGAGCCCAGUCUGGGCAACCUAGUAACCUUGUGAGAACUUGUCUUGAAAUAAGAAAUAAAAAGGGCUGAGGGCAUGUAGCUCAGUAGGAAGGACCUGGGUUCCAGGACCAGUACCACCAAAUGAAAAAGAGAGAAGAAAAGAAAGAAAAGAGGAGACAGACCUCCCUUCCCAGUAAUGAUGUAUUCAUUUUCCAUAAACCCCCCAGAGCCCAUAAAGAUGGCAUCUCCCCGUCACGACAGCUACCAUCAUGAUUAUUUCUGAGUGUAAAAACCAAAGAAUGGGCUGGGAGGGUGGGUAUGCACGGUGCCACUCUGAG